Molecule: non-coding RNA, 250 nt
Organism: Pelobates cultripes (western spadefoot toad)
Lineage: Eukaryota; Metazoa; Chordata; Amphibia; Anura; Pelobatidae
Source: the annotation of a GenBank genome assembly
UGUCGACAUUAUUGUUAUGCAGGCACUUUGGUGACUCUAGAGAACCUCGGGCCAAUCGCACGUCCCCGUAAUGGCAACUGUCUGCCCUAUCAACUUUCGAUGACAAUUUCUGCGCCUACCAUGGUGACCACGGGUAACGGGGAAUCAGGGUUCGAUUCCAGAGAGGGAGUCUGAAAAACGGCUACCACAUCCAAGGAAGGCAGCAGGUGCGCAAAUUACCCACUCCCGACGUAGGGAGGUAGUGAUGACA